This 274-nucleotide ribosomal RNA is filed under the name uncultured Lachnospiraceae bacterium. RNAcentral describes it as "partial 16S ribosomal RNA". It matches the Rfam family "Bacterial small subunit ribosomal RNA", at positions 71 to 339 of the family's 1533-position model. Lineage: Bacteria; Bacillati; Bacillota; Clostridia; Lachnospirales; Lachnospiraceae. The record is from RNAcentral.
AUUUCUUCGGAUUGAAGCAAUUGUGACUGAGCGGCGGACGGGUGAGUAACGCGUGGGUAACCUGCCUCAUACAGGGGGAUAACAGUUAGAAAUGACUGCUAAUACCGCAUAAGACCACAGCACCGCAUGGUGCGGGGGUAAAAACUCCGGUGGUGUGAGAUGGACCCGCGUCUGAUUAGCUAGUUGGCAGGGUAACGGCCUACCAAGGCGACGAUCAGUAGCCGACCUGAGAGGAUGAACGGCCACACUGGAACUGAGACACGGCCCAAACUCC